CCACGAUGUCGGCCUCACCGAGCAGCAACAGCGCGCCUUGGAAGACUUUCUGGCCCAGCGGCAGAUCGUUGAGGUCG
Molecule: transfer RNA, 77 nt
Filed under: Pararhodospirillum photometricum DSM 122
Lineage: Bacteria; Pseudomonadati; Pseudomonadota; Alphaproteobacteria; Rhodospirillales; Rhodospirillaceae
Description: tRNA-Asp
Source: RNAcentral